This 304-nucleotide ribosomal RNA is filed under the name uncultured Gammaproteobacteria bacterium. RNAcentral describes it as "bacterial SSU rRNA". It matches the Rfam family "Bacterial small subunit ribosomal RNA", at positions 35 to 333 of the family's 1533-position model. The record is from RNAcentral. Lineage: Bacteria; Pseudomonadati; Pseudomonadota; Gammaproteobacteria.
GCUGGCGGCAUGCUUAACACAUGCAAGUCGAACGGUAACAGGCGGAAGCUUGCUUCUGCGCUGACGAGUGGCGGACGGGUGAGUAAUGCAUAGGAAUCUGCCCAGUAGUGGGGGAUAGCCCGGAGAAAUCCGGAUUAAUACCGCAUACGCCCUACGGGGGAAAGGUGGCCUCUUCUUGAAAGCUAUCACUAUUGGAUGAGCCUAUGUCAGAUUAGCUAGUUGGUAGGGUAAAGGCCUACCAAGGCGACGAUCUGUAGCUGGUCUGAGAGGAUGAUCAGCCACACUGGGACUGAGACACGGCCCA